Molecule: non-coding RNA, 403 nt
Organism: Bemisia tabaci
Lineage: Eukaryota; Metazoa; Arthropoda; Insecta; Hemiptera; Aleyrodidae
Source: RefSeq, a predicted model, not a curated record
CGUCUGAAAGCUCAUAUGCCGUUCUUCCUUAGUACUGCAGAUUUAGAGAAGUUUCUUUGCCGCUCAUUGUUAGUGUAAGUACUAGGUUACACAAAAAAGCACUCGAUACGUUGUAGCUUUCUUUAAUUAAUAGCUGCAAGAUUUACAUGGGCCACUCUAUCUCCUGGACACUCCAUAAUCAAUUAUAUCUGAAAAAAUUAAGAGGAGUACAAAUUAAAUUGUUCGAUUUAAAAUUGAAAUAAGAAUGCUUUGAAAGAAAGAGGUAACCACAUUUUGCUGUUGAAUUGAACGAUAAUAUGGAUUGAAAAUUAAGCAUAAGUAAGAAGGUUAGAGAGGAUGCAUUUCUUCACUUACAAGCCAAUUUGCUUCCGGAUAGACUAUGGUAUCAAAAAUUCCACCAAAA